This 41451-nucleotide long non-coding RNA is filed under the name Citrus x clementina. RNAcentral describes it as "Citrus clementina (C. clementina) long non-coding RNA (CCLE_LNC002619)". The record is from RNAcentral. Lineage: Eukaryota; Viridiplantae; Streptophyta; Magnoliopsida; Sapindales; Rutaceae.
GACAGUUUAUUGACAGAAUCAUCAUUAAAUCUUAAAACAACAUUUAAUGCUGGUCAAUCAUCCCAACAGGGACAAUUUGGGUCGGACCUUCCAGAUCCUGGAGCAUCCCAUAAAAAAUGUCCGUUUAACUUUACAGGGUAUACUAGGUACCCUUCUGAGUUAAAUCGUGUGAUUGGCAGAUUUUCUUGGGUUGUUUAAACAACCGUGAUCAUCGAAGACUGAGUGAAUGAUAACCUUGGAGGCUCUUGAGGAGCACUAGGUAACAGCUGAGAGGUACUUGGUGGAGGCCUAAAAGUCAUUUUGACAGUACCAUCUGGCGUUCUUUCAAACAUACUUUCUGAUGUCUGAAUGGGGGCUGUAUUGUUAUGGAAUUUUUUAUAAUUUGAAAUCCAUUCCAGCGGCAUGAGUUUUAUGAGUUCAUGGUGAGGGAUUUGUCUAGGGAUUUGGAUGAUGGUUGGAAUUUGGUCUGAUUUUGCUAACACCAUAAGAGCAUCAGAGUGGUUGUCAGGUGUGGGAAGAUCUAAGGCAUGAUUUUAAAGCCUAUAGACCAACUGAUGGUGUAAAGUAGCCAUUUUUGCUGAGGAGAUUUAUUUUGCUCCUUGAAUUUGAACUUGAACUUUCAAGGCAGUUGACAGGUUGGUAUCUUGGAGAGAUAAAUUGAAAUUGGGGUAGAAAGUGAGAAGAGCACUUCCUGCAUGUAAAGUGGUCAGGACAGUACCAACUACUGCAUCCUGAUAUUGUUUGAAUUUGGUGUCGAGCAUAGCAAUUCUGCCUGUAACAGGUAAUCCUUUUCUUCCAUGUAAGGUCAGGAUUAAUCUUACUCCCCCAAGAUGGAGAUGAGUAUAACCCUCUCUUUUCCAGUUGGAAAUCAAUUCUGGAGCUAUUUCCAAAGUAACAUAUUGCUAAGCUGUGGUAGCUUGAAGAGUGCACUGAUCUAGUCUAGAGGACUGGAUGUAUUCUUUUAGUAGAGAUAAGGGUUCUGAUACUUCUAGUAAAAGAGUUUCCUCUCUUGUAGAGCUGAUAAGGACUAAGAAGAGGGAAUGAAGAUUCAUUGAUCUGGGCUGACUCAAGAAUAUAUGAAUACUCAACAAGGUUUUCUAUUUUAUUGGCUGUUUGUUUGGUGCAAGAUUUGGGUAAAGACAAAGUAGAAGAAAGGGAGAUUGGAGUGAACGUAGAAGUAAAAGCAUCAUUAGAUGAAGUAGAUUUAAUUAUAUGUAUGGUUAAUUUUUCAAGUUUGUGACUUAGUAAGAGAUGAUUUCUAGGUAGUAAUAAUAUGAAGAUGAAACAGCUUAAAUUAAACACUUGAGUCUCUAGAUUCACACUCGUGACUUCACCACGGGCUUAAUAUUCCUUUUUAGUUUGAAUUAAUUUAUGAGGUAUUUUCACUAUUCAUAGGCCUCAUUUUGGUGAUUAUAGUAUCAAGUACUCAUUGUAACAGGGGAAAUAAUCUUCUGCUAAAUAUGUUAUUGAGUACACGUUGUGCUAGGUGAUAACAAUCUACUAUCGACAAUAUGGCAAGACUAUCUGCUAAAUAACUUAGGGGAGCUUGUCACUAAUAUAUAUAAUGUAAAGUGCUUAUCAUGCUAAAUAGUAGUGAUCUUACACUAAAGAUCUGGUAUACUGUGCAAAAUCUACAUGGAGUUAUUACUUUCUAUCAACAAUGAGUUAAAACAAUUCAAAUAAAUUAGAGAGGGAGAAUGAAUAUAAUUACUAAAUUAAUCCCAUGGAUAAUGUUCAAGCUUCACUUUCAACCUAAGCUUCAAAUUAGAUUAGCCACUCAUAUUAAACUAGGGGGUAAAAUGGUAAUCUUAUAAUAAAAUACAUAGAAAAUACAAGAUAGAGAGAAAAUUAUAGAAAAUAGAGCUAAGAUUUGGCUUUAUAGCUAUUCAAUUAUAGGGAGCCCCCUAUUUAUAGAUACAAUAGUAAAUCAUGGCCAUCGAAUGAAAAAAAUUUGAACACUUAGGAUUGCGCCACAUGGCAAGCUUUGAUUGGCUAGAGCAAAUUAUCAGUGUUGUGAUUAGGUCCAAUAAUAUGCUGCCACAUCAUCGGUCAAUGCCACGUUAGUAUUUUUUGGUCCAAUAGGAUGUUGCCACCUCAUCGAUCAAUGCCUCAUAAGCUAUGUCCCAUCAAAAUCCUAAAAUUAUAAUUUUACCAUUUAUGCCCUUUCUUAGGUUUUUCAACUAAUCUUAGCUAAAAAAUGCUAUUAGUUUUGCUAUUUGAUUUCUCGCUAAUCGUAAAUGAUCAAAAUACUUCUAAAAUACAUAAAAUAGUCAAACUAUUACAGAGCACACACAAUCAAAGUUUAAAGGACUUAAAUACAUAAAUAGAAAUGUCAGUGACACUUGAAUUGCAAAAUGAUUAUUAUGAUUCAUGUUAAUUAACUUACGAAAGGCAUUAUAAAUAACAUGUCCUAAUCUUACCAUGCCAUAGACUAGAGAAAUUAAGAAAAUAAGCAAAAGAAAUAGCUUUAUUGUUCUUAGGUGUUAUAGCCAUUACAUUCAAUCUGAACAACCUAUUAGAUACAUAUUCCUUUCUCUCAUACAUUCCAUUUUCAAACAAAACUACUUUAUUUGACUCAAAUACCAUCUAGAAUCCAUGCCUGUUCAAAAAAGAUCCAGAUACGUGAUUCUUGUGAAUUUCUAGCACACACAAAACAUUGUUUACAGUCUACUUUUCCCCAAAAGUCAUCUUUAAAAUCACUUUUCCUUGACCUUCCAUCACACAUGUAGGAAAUUAAAAUUUUUUUAUUUGAGCAUACAUGUGAUGCUACGGAUAUGAUACUAGAUUUUGUUCUAGCUUACGUUCUUGAAUACUCAAGAAAGAAAGUUGUCACAAAGGAGAAAUUAUAUCAAUUGAGAAAUAUAGAAUAAUAUUAAUGAAAAGCUUGUGUCAAGAAACAAGCACAACAAGCUUAUUUGUACUAGCUAAGAUUAUCAUAUUCUUAAUAAAAUUAUGAUUCCUUAUAAGAAAAGGAAAAUGACUUUAAUAAGAAAAUAUAAAGUAAUUCCUAAUUAAACUAGAAAACUUAUACUCUUAUUAUGACUCUAAUAAACUUAAUAAAAUAAGAUAAAUCCUAAUAGAAUACUACAUACUAGAUUGAAUCAAAUACUCUAAUUUCUAAUAUAUUCUAUCUAUGUGCUUCUUAUAUCAACAUGUCAAGUGGCACUAGUAUUAAUCGAUUAUUCUCUUGGAUUGAAGCCUGCCAGAAUUACUUCAUGAACCAUUAUAGAAAAAUAAUGUUUGACACAUCUUUGGAGAUGUCCUCUACCACGUUACCUUCCCGGUUUCUCUUUUUCUUCAGUUUAUCAAAGUUGAAGCAUUUGCAUUGAAAUUUGGUUUGCUUGUUGGAGACUCCUCUGUUAGAAACCAGUUUGCUUAUGUUGGCUUUUUAUUCUUGUUAUUCUAACUAUAUUCCACAAAAUUGGCCUUGGCCACAGAAAUGACACUUUUCUUGUAAUUAUUUUUGUUGCCUUCUUUAACGUAAAUUUUAAUAAUCAGAUCAUCAAGACUUAUUUCCUUUCUCUUGUGCUUUAGAUAGCUCUUGAAAUCUUUCCUUGUUGGAGGUAGCUUCUCACUAAUAGUAGCUGCUAAGAAGUUUAGCUCAAAUCCAUCCCCUCGAUAUGAAUUUCUGACAUAAUUUAUCUACAAGUCUUGAACUUGACUCAUAAUAAGUUUGGAGUUCACCAUCUUAUAAUCUAGGAAGCGGCCUAUGAUAAAUUUCUUAAAACCAGCAUCCUCAGUUUAAUAUUUUCGUUCCAAGGACUUCCACAGAUCUUGGAUCUUUUCUUUCUAGCAUACACAUGGUACAAAGAAUCGCUCAACGCAUAAUUUCUACAAAGGAAAUCGGAAUUAUUCCAAGCAUUAUUGCACCGGUCACUUGUGGAUCAACGUUUUAUGGGUAUAAGAGCAUCUUCCAUCAAGAAUCUCACAAGAUUUAAGGUAGUCAAGCAAAAAAAAAAAUUCCUAUUGCCACCAUUUGAAAUUAUGGCCAGUGAAUUUUUCAUGUUUUUUCCCAUCAAGAACAAUCACAAAUGUAGAAGCACUAGUGCCAACACUAGCACAAGAGACAGUAGGAGGAGCUUGGCCAGCUCAACCAUAUUUGGAACCUUAGGCAAAUGGUUUUAAUAGUUCUUUUUAAAUUUUGAGGCAAAAAAAAUAAAUUAGUCAUAUUAUAAAAUUUAUUUAUUAAAAAUCAAUUCUUCCAGCAUUUUAAAAAUGUUAAAUUAUUAAAUAAAAUUCUAUUCUACUAUGCUAAUCCAUGAACUUUUAAUUCAAUUAUAACAUUAUCACUUACUGUUUCUUCACUCAAAUUACAUCUUUUUUACUUGUCCUUUUUUAGAUUAAACUAAUCUUUCUAUUCUUCUAUUUUUUUUAAUUUUUUUGAUACAAUUGUAUUUCAACAUAAAUAAAACAAGCACACACAAAAAUAAUAAUAGAUGAACAAAAGAAUAUAUUAAAAAGAAAUAAGAUCAAAUAAAUAACACAACUAAUUAAGAGAAUAACAAAAAGAUAAAAUCUGAAAUUGGAGAUGAAAUAAUAAAUUCACUUUAUCCUUGAUUAUUUGAGAAUUUAAGCAAUGACCAAUAAUCAUGGAAAAUAGAGAAAACUAUUAGAUUUUUUUUUCUUUGAGGGGAAAGUAGAGGAAGCAUUUUUUUUUUAUCCUCCUCUCUCUAAAGCACCAACAACAAUUAUGGUAACAAAAUGUGGGGCCUUUAUAGAGUUCUAAAAUAAAUAUAAAACUUUUUAGUUAUAACAUAUUAAUUCUAAUGAUAAAAUAGAGGUUUUCUAGGAUUGAAACUAUUAAUUGGACGGUUUUGUAGGAAUUAAAAUAAUUAAAUAUUACAUUAAAUAGACUUUAUUGGAAUUUAAUAGUUUAUUUAGGAAAACAUAAUUAUGAUAAUAGUAAUAAUAAUAACUUUAGAAUUCACCUUCCCGUUUUAUAUACAAAAUAUAAUAGUGCCAUAGGCAAUUGCCUAAGUUGCCUAGGGGUCGAGCUGCUCCUAAGGAGGAGGGUCAAAAGUUCUAGCUUGCUACCUCAUAAUAGUUGCCAUUUCAACAAAUGAUCUGUUUUAAUAUUGUUGGUGUAUUAUUAGAAAUUAGCCAGUGAUAUAAGACUGCCCACUUUGUAUGCAAAAUACUUUAAUUAGGUUUCUAGAAAGGACUAGAGAGGCUACAAUAGUCCUGCCUAAAACCCAAACUCCUUAGGUAAUGUGUAUAGUGUUUGUGAUAAAACUUUUUUGGCACAUUAAAGCUUGUAAUAAGCCUCUUACACACUUAUCAUAAUUUUAGAGUAAUAAUAGUAACAGUAAAUUGAAAUAGCAAAGAUGGAACAUAUAAUUUUGCAAUGUGUAAUAAGAAAAAAACCACUAACCCGAGCCUAUAAAGAUACAGUGUCCUUAAAACAAAUUCGCCACCUUCGCAAAGGCACUUGAAUUAUAUUGGCAAUUGUGUCGUAAGAUAGAAUGGAUUCGAAUGGUAUUGGCAUUCCAGUGAGCUUCAAACGAAUGUUUGAACUCUAUUACAUUAAAGCUUAUAGGUAGAGAGUAUUUGCUUAAGAGAGAAGAGAAGAAAAUCAUUUCGAUUUUUUUGGUGUAUUUUGCAAAUGAACUUGGAAGCCAAUUUAUAGAUGUCAAGGGAGCGCAUUAGUUAGUUAAAAUUUCAUGUGGGACUUUUCCUUCAUAUUUUGAAACCAAUGGGUAUUUUUUAGAUUCAAUUUCUCAUUCACCCAAGUACCAAUUUCAGUGUUUUAUAAUUCGUUGCAAAGAGCUCACGGAAGAGAUUUUCAAAAUUGGCCUCGAAAUAGCCACUUUAUGUAUUUUUCUAACAAAAAUAUGAAGCCAACCUAAAAACAAAUUAAUAAACUCCCACUCUCAUGAGGAGAGUUUAACCAUUAUUAUAAGUGAAAAGGUAAUUAUUAUCAUUUUUUAAAUUAAAAAUUUAUUUAGAAGUAAAAAUAAAAAUAAAAAUAAAUUAAAGAUUAUUGAUAAUCAUUUUUGUAAUUAAUGCUUAUUAAGGACAGCACUUUGGGAUCAUAAAACUUUGAAAAUGCUCCUUCACGAUUCUAACAAGCCAACUAAAUUAAAUCUUCAACGCCUAAUCACUUUUUUUUUAAUUAAAGCGAUUAACUACAAUAUCUACUAAAAAUGAUAUACUAAUUAACAAUUGGAUUCUUUUAGCUUAAAUGUUGAAAUUAAAAUUUUGCAAUAAAUUGAGUUAAAGAACUUAUGUAAUCCAAUGGUAAAAAUACAACUAAGGAAAGUUAGAAUAACUCUAUAUGCAGAUCGCUAAUUGCUAUAUGUAGUGGUUUGCAUUCAAGCCACUACAAAAGAAAGCUUCUUUCACCAUGGCCCUUGCAACUGCAAAAUAAGCCAUGGUGAAACCUAUUGUUGGGUUCAACAAAAACUAAGCCUGAAUUCGUUUUGUCUUAUCAAAUUUGUUAAAAACAUAUUUCAGCUCAUUUCUCAAAACAAAUAAAAUCAAAAAAGUUUUUAAAAAAAAGCAAAAGAAGUGUUAUUACUCUUAUGGCUUGUGCUUUCUCUGAUUCGUGCUUUUUUGGAAGUUUAUUCAAUUCAAAUUUAGUUCUCCUUCUUUCUAUAUUUAAUUUUUAUUUUUAAAAAGUGAAAAAGCUUGUUGUUGGAAUUGUGUGAAAGGCCCAAGAGGAAGUUUAGUUCUUAAAAUCUAAUUGAGGAAAAAAAUUGGUGUCUAUUUGCUAUAGGAUCCGUUGCUUCUUCGUUUACAACACAUAGGUGAGAAACUUACUGAUUAUUGUGUAAUUUAUCCUCAUUAUUUUCCUUUGCUUUCUAGUUACUACUCUAUUUUGAGUUCAUUCAAUGGCGAUAUUUAGGCUUGAUCCAACUCUGUCUUCAUCGAUGAUUUUUAGAUUUUGCUUGUAAUUGAAAGGUGUGUGUUAUGAUUUUAAGCUUGUUUUACUGAUUCGAUAUAGUUUUGAGAAAAAUACAGGUAAGAUUUAAUGUAUUUUGAGUUUCUUUUUACGUUUUAAUAUUCAAUACAUCGAAUCUGAGCUUUAUUUCGUUUUAAUGCUUAGUUAAGAUAAGUUGUUAUUAUUAUUGGUUAAAUUGAGUAAAAUGAAUUUUGACUAUUGAACUAUAACUUAUCUAGAGCAAAUUUUAAUAGUUAAAUUAUGUUUAAGCAAUUUUGGUGGAUGAUUCUUUUUGGCUACUGAAUUUGAAUUUGAUGAAUUGGAUUGCUGAAUUGUAGUUUAUCUAGAGUCAAUUUUGGUUGUUGAAUUUUAUUUUACUAGCUUCUGUCACUUAUUCUACUUGUUCACUGAAUUUUGAAUUUGAUGAAUUGGAUUGUUGAACUGUAGUUUAUCUAGUUGAAUUAUGUUUGAGCAUCUUUUGUGACUAAAUUCUGAAUUGGAUAUAUUGGAUGACUAAGCUGAACUUACCUAAAGUGAAUAUUAGUGGUUGAGUUUUGUUUGAGCAGUUUAUGUGGCUGAUUUCAUUUGCCUAUGGAAUUCCGAACUUGAUGUACAGUAAUGAAUAAAUUGAAGCUUAUGUAAACAUAAUUUUGUAACUGAGUUCUAUUUGAGCAUUUUCAAGUUGAAAAUUCAAAUAUUUUAAUUUCUUAAAAUAAAAUUUUGCUAAUUUUUUGCAUGCAUUUAACCAUAGACUUGUUCAAGAAUUAUGAAGAAAGCACACGUGUUCAUAUUGUUAUCUUGUAAUGACUUAAAUGUUGUAUGAUUCAAUGUGUUUAGGAUGAUACACGAUACUGGUUAGCUAUGAUUCAUGUGCAAAUGACGAUAUGGUUGGAAUGAUACAUGAUGCAAUGUGUUUUCCAAAUUAGGCUUUUGUUUACCUAAAUGUAGCUUCUAGGAGUUUCGAUUUAAAACCUAUUGUGCUAAAUUAUCUCCCAUCUUCUAUGGCCUAGAAAAUGAAGACCGAUAAAUCAUUUGAAUGAUUUUCAUGUUGUUUGCCAAACUCUUAAAUAUGAAAAUUUUUCAGAUGAGGAUGUUAAACUUAGGUUGUUUCCAUUUUCUGUAAAGGAUAGAGCUCGUUCUUGGUUUAAUACAUUGCCCACUAAUAGUAUCACAUCAUGGGAAAUUUUUAAAUAAAUACUUCUUAGUGCAUUAAAAAAAUGCUAUUCGCAGGGAAAUCUCAGAGUUUACUUAGAAAGAAAAUGAAUGGCUAAUGGUGACAAGUGGAGGUAAGCUAAUUUAUAAAAACGCAUUAGAAAUUUAGGACUUUUUCUAACAAUAAGCAGAUAAUUCCCACUAGCGAAGCUAACCAUUCAGGAAUGUGAAAAAAAUCAAUAGAGUAAAUGAAGUCCACAUUGGCAAGUCAAGAUUGAAAAAUCAAGGAAGUAAAAGAAAUAGUUUGAGGACUUUCUCAUCAAAUAGCAUCAUUAACAGCUACCAAAUCAACAGAGCUAUAUGCCUACAACUAAUUUGACCAUGAUUCAUACAAUGAUCAAGCUAAUGCCAUUAAUGUGAUGAGGAAUCAGUCGAACUACAACAUUUACUCCAAUACUUACAACCCUGAAUGGAGAGACUAUCCUAACUUUUCAUGGUCUCAUGGAUUCUGACAAAACAGAACAACAGCUGUAGCUUGACCAGUGGAGCUCUAACUUUUCAUGGUCUCAUGGAUUUUGACAAAAUAGAACAACAGCUUUAGCUCGACUAGUGGAGCUUUAACUUUUCAUGGUCUCAUGAGAGCUGGCAUAAAUUCACAAGCCCAAUCAAUUUCGAACCUUGUAAAGAUAGUGGGUCAACUUGUCACUUCUAUUCAAACCUUGACGAUGACUGUUGAAAAAGACAAAUUCCCAAGCUAGCUAGUGCCCAAUCCUAAAUGAGUAAAUGAAGUGGAGAUGCUGAAGUCAUGACUUUGUAAAAAGACAAAGAAGUCAACAACGAAGUGGAGAUGCUGAAGACCAAGACAACUUAAGUUAUACCUUUAGAGUCUAAGAACUCAUCACCAAAGGAGAAAGAAGAAAGCAACCCACAAGAAUAUAUCCCCAAAGCUCUUUUUCCCUGGAGGUUAGCUAAAGCAAAGAAGGGAAAUUCCACAUGUGAGAUUAUGGAAAUCUUUAAAUAGGUAUGUGUUAUCAAGUUUCUUAAAGACGUUUACAUUAAAAAAAGAAGUAUUCAUGUUCAAAAGAAGACAUUUUUAAUAGAGAACAUGAGUUCCAUACUCCAACAGAAAAUUUAUCUAAAAUACAGAGAUUCAUGCUCCCCAACCAUCUCAUGUAAUAUAGAGAACCACAUAAUUAAGAAUGCUUUGUUAGACUUAGGAGUUAGUGUAAAUCUUUUCCUUAGUAUUUGUGAACUUGGAUUGGAAGAACUACAUCCAACUCUAGUUGUGUUGUAGGUGUUGAGUGUUAGAAAGUGUAUAUUUAUAAAGGAGAAAAUCGUCAUUUUACAUUUAAAGUCUUACUAACAUCCUUACUUUUAUGUAUUUAAGCUUCUUGUGAUUUAAUUAUGUGUGUUUUAUUUUAAUUAAGUAUUUUAUGUAUUUUAGGGACAUCAUGGUUAUUUUACAAUGAACGAGAAUUCAGACAGCAAAACAGACAUCAUUUUUGAACUCAGGACAGUUGAAAACCUUAGGAAGAGCAUAAAAGGAAAAAUGGCACCGUUCACAUGUACGGUACUAUUCACAUGUACGAUACUGUCUAUGUUACUGCUCAUGACAUUGUUCACGUAGAUGGAUUGAUGACGUGGCAUUGAUCGAUGAUGUGACAUUGAUUGAUGAGGUGUCACAAUCUUGUUGAACUAAAAUUCUUAUGUACUGUUGAUCGGUGAUGUGGCAGCAUGUUAGUGGACCAAAAAUCGCACUUACGGUACAUGCAUAUACACAGGAUUAUUUUCAAACAAACCGCGUCAUUGUUCAAACCGCAUCACUAUUCAAACCGCGUGGUCAAACCGUGUUACUAUUCAAACUGCGUACUGUUGACUGAUGACGUAGCGCAAUCCUGAGUGUCCGAAAUGUUUUUUAUCCGAUGGCCAUGAUUUACUCAAUGUAUCUAUAAAAGGGGGCUUCCCCCCCUAAUUUGGCAUCUCUGAAUUCAUUUUUGAGCUCCAUUUUCUGUAAUUCCUUCUCCAUCUUGUAUUUUCUAUGUAUUUUAGUAAAUUCCUAUUUUACCCCUAGUUCAAUUAUGAGUAGCUAAUUUUCUUUCAAGCUUGGGUUGAAGGUGAAGUCUCAACAUGUGCCAUGGGCUUUAUUUGGUAAAUUUACAUUCUCUUCCCCUCUAAUUAUUGUGGAUGUUUUGACUUUUCGUCUAAAAAUAGUAAUAAUCUUGUCUAGAUACCGCCCUGGUUUCACCGGCUCCCUAAUACAAGGUUAUUAUUAUUUGGCACAAUAAGCCCUUAGUACCAUAUUGAUUAGAGUGUGGUUCAUGAGGUGUGGAUUCCCCGCUCGUGAUUUAAUUGGCAUUAAUAAGGAAUAUUUAGCCCAUGGAGCAUGUUGAUGCAGAUCCAGAUACCCAAGUGCUUCAAAUUUUAGGAUAAUCUAAGCUACUUUCACCACAAAUCCAACUACCCACUUAGAAAAUUAAUUCUACCCAUAAUUAAAAUCCACCUCCUCGUGGGAUCGACACUCGUCACCAUUAAUCUAUUCUACAAUAGAUUUGUGCGCUUGCGAGUUCAAUAAAUUUUGCACAACAAGUUUUUGGCACCGUUGCCGGGGAGGUAAGUUAUUUUAAUUCGUAGAAUUAAUUUUUGUAAAUAAUUUUAUUUUUUUGUUAUUUUCUUGUAAUUUUUAUUUAAAAAAAGUGAAUCUACAUUUAGAGGUAAGAAUUUCUUUUCUUUUUCUCUUCUUUAAAAUUCUGUAAUUUAAUUUUAAGUUAUUUUUUUCGUAAUUUUUGGUUUAUCUUAUUAAUUUAUUUUAAUUUUAGCUAAUUUAUUUCACAAAUUUUUUUUUUAGUGUGUUUUCAUAGUAAACUUGUAAUAGCGUGAAAAGGUUACCUAAUCUUGAGCCUAUAGAUCUUGAACUUGAAAAAACACUUCGCACACACAAACACGUUGUAAUUAAAGAUAAAAGUGAAAUGGAUUUACAACAACAACAAGCACCACAGGAGAGGCCAUUUAAGGACUACUUCAAUCCCUUAGCUAAUUUGAGCACAUCUUGUAUAAGAUACCCAAAUGUAGCUGCUAGGAGUUUGAACUAAAACCUAGUGUGCUAAAUUGUCUCCCAACAUUCUAUGGCUUAGAAAAUGAGGACCCAUAUAAUCAUCUGAAUGAUUUUCAUACUGUUUGUCAAACUUUUAAAUAUGAGAAAUUUUCAGACGAUGAUGUUAAACUUAGACUAUUCCCAUUUUCUUUAAAAGAUCGAGCUCGUUCAUGGCUCAAUACAUUGCCUGCUAAUAGCAUUACAUCAUGGGAAUAAAUGGUAACGGAAUUUUUGAAUAAAUAUUUCCCAGUGCAUAAAACCGAUGCUAUUCGCAGGGAAAUUUCAGAGUUUACCUAGAGAGAAGACGAGCAGUUUUUCAAAACAUGGGAGCGAUUCAAUGGGCUACUCUUGAAGUUUCCACAUCAUGGGUACGAUAAAUGACACCAAUACCAAUACUUUUUCGAGGGAUUAUUGCCGCAUGUGCAAGAAUGACUAAUGGCAACAAGUGGAGGAGAGCUAAUGUCAAAAAGAGCAUCAGAGAUUUGGGAGUUCUUUCAGCGACAAGCGGAUAAUUCCCAACAACGGAGUCGAUCACUCAAGAAUACUAAAAGAAUUAAGGGAGUGAAUGAGGUUCACAUUGGCGAGUCAAGUUCAGGAAUUAAAGAAGUCAAAGAGAUAAUUGAAGGUCUUUCCCAACAAAUAGCGUCGUUAACGACUGCUAAAUCAACAGAACCACAUGACCAUGACUCAUACUCAGAUCAAGCCAAUGCCAUAGGUGUAAUGAGAAAACCAUCAAAUUACAACCCAUACUCCAACACAUAUAAUCCUGGAUGGAGAGACCACCCUAAUUUUUCAUGAUCUUAAAGGAUUCCAACAUAAUGGACCAGCAGCUCCACCAAUGCAACCAAUUCCCUAAGUUCCUCAAGCCUCUCAGCCCCCAUUUAAACCAUACAAUUAGAACCAGAACUACUCUCAACCUAGACCAUGGGAGGAUUCAUUCCAGAAUCUCAAGAAUCUUACUCACUCCACGAUUGAGCAACAAAACCGGACCAUUGAUGAACUACGAGAUGAGAUGAGAGCAGGCUUCAAAUCACAAGCCCAAUUAGUUUCAAGCCUCGAGAAGAUAGUGGGACAACUUGCUUCUUCAGUUCAGAUCUUGGCAAUGACUGUUGAGAAAGGCAAGUUUCCAAGUCAACCAGUGCCUAAUCCUAAAGGAGUGCAUGAAGUAAGUACCAGCUCACCACAACAGCAUGGAUACCUGUGAAUGUUGAGGACUCACUAUCGAAAGAGAAAGAAGAAACCAACCCACGAGAAUAUGUUCCUAAAGCUCAAUUUCCUCAGAGGUUAGCUAAAGGAAAGAAGGGAAAAUCCACAGGUGAGAUUCUUGAAAUCUUUAAACAGGUAAGUGUUAACAUCCCUUUGCUUGAUGCUAUAAAACAAGUGUCAUCUUAUGCCAAAUUUCUUAAAGACCUUUGUACUAAAAAGAGAAACAUUCACGUUCAAAAGAAGGCAUUUUUAACAGAAAAAGUUAGUUCUAUACUCCAACACAAAAUUCCUCUAAAAUGCAAAGACCCAGGUUCCCCCACUAUCUCAUGUAGUAUAGGGAACCACACAAUUGAGAAUGCUUUGUUGGAUUUAGGAGCUAGUGUAAAUAUGUUGCCUUAUUCAGUUUUCAUGAAACUUGGACUGAGAGAAUUACACCCAACUUCAGUGGUGUUACAGCUUGCAGAUCGGUCCACGAAAAUACCUCGUGGUAUUGUGGAGGACGUGCUUAUCCAGGUAGACAAGUUUUAUUUUCCUGUUGAUUUCAUUGUAAUUGACACUCAACCAAUCCAGGAUUUAAGAAAGCACAUCCCCAUUAUCCUAGGCCGACCUUUCUUGGCAACUAUCGAUGCUCACAUUCAAUGCAGGACUGGAAAUAUGUAGUUGUCCUUUGGCAACAUGACUAUGGAGCUAAACAUCUUCUACAUUGCCAAACAACCUCACAAUGCAGAUGAUGGAAUUGUUGAUGCAAAUUUAAUAGAAGAAAUAGUUGAUGAUACUUUUAUUUCAAACCUUAGUGAUGAUCCUUUACAAACAUGUUUAACUCACUUUGGUUUGGAUUUUGAUAUUGACAGAUCAGUCGAUGAGAUCAAUGCUCUACUUGACUCAGUGCCAUCCAUGGACACUAAUAAAUGGAAGUCAAGAGUUGAACAACUAGCACCAUCAGAGAACAAACUCAUCCCAUGAUCAGAAUCACCACCGAAACUCGAGCUCAAACCAUUACCCAACACUUUGGAAUAUGCAUUUUUGGGAGAAGAAAGCACUCUACCGGUAAUCAUCUCAUCAUCCCUAAAUGACGAACAAAAAGGUAAGUUGUUGGAUGUUUUAAAAGAGCACAAAUGAGCAUUAGGAUGGACCAUAGCUGACAUAAAAGGUAUAAACCCAGUAGACUGCAUGCAUUACAUUCACCUUGAUAAAAAUGCUAAACCUACUAGGGAAAUGCAAUGUCGGUUAAAUCCUAAUAUGAAAGAAGUUGUUAGAACUGAAGUCCUUAAGUUAUUAGACGCAGGUAUCAUUUACCCAACUUCUGAUAGUUCAUGGGUCAGUCCUGUACAAGUUGCCCCCAAAAAGUCAGAAGUCACAGUAGUUACUAAUGUUGAUAAUGAAUUGAUACCCACUAGAGUGACUACAAGAUGGCAUGUAUGCAUUGAUUAUAGAAAGUUGAAUUCUAUCACACGUAAAGAUCAUUUUCCUUUACCAUUUAUCGAUCAAAUGCUUGAUAGAUUAGCAGGCCAUGAAUUUUAUUGCUUUCUAGAUGGCUACUCAGGAUAUAAUCAGAUUCCCAUAGCACCAAAAGAUUAAGAGAAAACCACUUUCACUUUCCUUUUUGACACUUUUGCAUAUAGGAGGAUGCCAUUUGGAUUAUGUAAUGCGCUUGGUACAUUUCAACGAUGCAUGUUGAGCAUUUUUUCUGAUAUGGUUGAACAAUUUCUUGAAGUCUUUAUGGAUGACUUUUCUAUUUUUGGUGAUUCUUUUGAUCAAUGUUUACAUCAUCUAACACUAGUUCUGCAGAGAUGUAUCGAGAAGAACUUAGUCUUAAAUUGGGAGAAGUGCCAUUUUAUGGUAAAACAAGGUAUUGUUCUCUGUCACAUCAUUUCAAGCAAAGGUAUUGAGGUUGACAAAGCUAAGGUGGAUCUCAUUUCCAAUCUUCCUCCGCCUAAAACAGUCAGAGAAGUAAGAUCUUUCCUUGGGCAUGCUGGUUUUUAUCGACAUUUCAUUAAAGAUUUUAGCAAAGUUUCUAGACUCUUAUGCAAUUUACUUACUAAGAAUGUACCUUUUAUCUUUGAUGAUUCAUGUCUUCUGGCAUUUGGAAAACUAAAGCAAUUGUUGACAUCAUCACCCAUCAUUCAACCCCCAAACUGGAGCUUACCAUUCGAGCUCAUGUGUGAUGCAUUUGAUUAUGCAGUAGGAGCAGUAUUAGGACAGAGAGUUGAUCAAAUUCCCUAUGUUAUUUACUAUGCUAGUAUGACAUUGAAUGAUGCACAAUUGAACUAUUCAACUACUGAAAGAGAAAUGCUAGUAGUAGUGUUUGCAUUAGAGAAAUUUCGAUCUUAUCUCAUUGGUUGUAAAAUAAUUGUGUUCACCGAUCAUGUUGCUCUUAAAUCUCUUCUCACAAAGAAAUAUGCAAAAGCUAGACUAAUUCGUUGGGUGUUACUUUUACAGGAAUUUGAUUUGGAAUUCAAAGAUAAAAAAGGCAUAGAAAAUGUUGUGGCUGACCAUCUGUCUUGUCUCAAUUUUGACACAAUUACAGAGGUAUUAACAUUAAAUGAGGCAUUAACAAAUAAGGGUCAUCCCAAAUGAACAAUUAUUGAGUGUGGAAGUAUUACCAGGACAAAGCCAAAUUUUUUACAGAAAUAAAGAAUUUCUUUUGGGAUGACCCUUAUUUGUUCAAGUAUUGUGCAGAUCAAAUUGUUAGACGAUAUAUCCCCGAAAAUGAAUUUCAAAAUAUCCUUUCAUUCUGCAAUGAACAAGCUUGUGGAUGUCAUUUCAACGCUAAGAAAACAGUUACUAAAGUUUUACAAUGUGGUUUCUAUUGGCCAACUAUAUUUUAAAAUGCUUACACUUUCAGUUCUUCAUGUGAUAGGUGUCAACGAAUGGGGAGCAUUACGCGAAGGAAUAUGAUGCCACUAAAUCCAAUUUUAGUGGUUGACAUUUUUUAUGUAUGGGGUAUCGACUUCAUGGGACCAUUUCCUCUUUCUUUUAGCCAUCAAUACAUAUUGGUUGUUGUUGACUACGUAUCGAAAUAGGUAGAAGCAAUUUCGUGCAGAACUAAUGAUCACAAGGUGGUGAUAGGAUUUUUGAAAAGCAACAUUGUUUCACGCUUUGGAUUCCCUCGAGCAAUAAUUAGUGAUGGUGGUGCCCACUUUUGUAACAAAGCAUUCAAAACUCUUUUGACAAAGUAUUCCAUCACUCACAAAGUGGCGACCCCAUAUCAUCCACAAACUAGUGGCCAAGUUGAGAUCUCCAAUCGAGAAAUAAAGCACAUAUUAGAAAAGACAGUGAGGCCGGACAGAAAAGAUUGGUCAUUAAGACUCGAUGAUGCAUUAUGGGCAUAUAGAAUGACUUUUACGACCCCAAUUGGAAUGUCACCCUAGAGGCUAGUGUAUGGAAAAGCUUGCCACCUACCUGUGGAACUCGAGCAUCGUGCAUAUUGGGCCAUCAAGAAAUUCAACUUUGACAUGCAGCAAGCUAGUUCAGAAAGAAGAUUACAACUGGCAGAAUUUGAAGAAAUUCGCAAUGAUGCAUACGAAAAUGCCAAGAUUUACAAGCAACAAAUGAAAGUCUUUCAUGACAAGCAAAUUAUGAGAAAAUCUUUCACUCCAGUUUAGAAAGUGCUUUUAUUCAAUUCUCGCUUGCACCUAUUCCCAGGUAAGUUACGCUCUCGAUAGUCUGGCCCCUUUAUUGUUUAUACUGUUUUUCCACAUGGGGCAAUUGAAAUUAAGGACCCAAAGAACGGUGUCACGUUUAAAGUUAAUGGUCAAAGAUUAAAGCCAUAUCUAGAGUACUAAUCACAUGGAGAGGACACCAAAAUAAAUUUGAGUGACCCACCAGAUUUGAAUUGAGUUUUUUCUUUCUUUUCGGUGAUUUGAUUUUUUUCUUUCUUUUUACUAUUCUUUUGGUAAUUGAAAUUAUUUUUGCAUAGGUGUGUUUGUUUAACCAUUAAGUUUUCUCUUAUCAUUGUUAAUCAUGAGUGCCAUAGCUAAACAGUUCCUCCUGGACAUUCUUAGACCACUUCAACGCGUAAAAUCUCAUCUCAAAAGACAGAUUCGAUUUUGUAAAACAAAUCAUAUUUGGGCUCUGCAACCACCGGAGUUAGUAUCCCAUGUUGAGGAUUUAGAAAGCUAACUCAGAGACAUUGAGAGAGGUGUCUACAACAUCCAGUUGGAGCUUGAGGUAAAUUCAAUAAGAGGACGAUUGUAAUUUUAUUUAUGUGUUUUAGUUUGUUUUUCUUUGUUUGUGUGCUUUAGUUUGUUUACCCCGGUGAAGAGGCGGAUAAUGGUACUCCGUGACAACAAGUCGGUUACUUCAGUUUCCUAUAAUAACUGAUCUUCUGAGGCGAAGGUAUGGACAAAAACGAGAUUCUAGCAAAGCUUCACAAUCGAUUCCCUUCACUUCCUCAGAAUGCCCUCCUUACAAUCCAUAAAGCUCGGUCCGAAUGCAUGCGAUUGCUUAUGAGGAAUAACAUACCUGCUGACAUUCGCUGGUUAAUCGAGGCCAAAGUACGAUUGGCAGGUGAGUUGCCUCCAAAAUUUAUUGCAUACAUGCCUGGUUGUGGUAAAGGAAAUUAUGUAAGAAAACGAAGAGCUCGAAGAAUUUCUGUUGCUUGUCAUAAGUGUGCUAGAAUGAGAUGCGACAAAAAAACCAUGUUCUUUAGGAAUGGUGUCUGAUAACAGGGAAGAUUAGAUUCAAUUCAUUAGGGAUGGCUUGAAUAAGGAGUCAUCUCUUGAAACGCAUCCCAGUGGAUAUGUGCAAGGAGCGAUUCUCUAGUUAUGGUCAUUAUUCUAGAAAGAGCAUGCACGAUAUAGUCUUGGGAAUCUGACUAUAAACGACCAUGUUCGCCAGUUUAUAAGAAAACUGGAUGGGAAGGCUAUCCUCGACCCAUAGAGGGUGUUCAAGCCGUUUCUGGACGUAAAACUAGAGGAAGAUGUGAGCCACAGUCGCAACUACCUAUAAAUAUCCUUUUACUUCACUGUUGUUUUAUCAUUUGCAUUAUUGUCUUUAAUAAUUUUAUUUUAUCACUGUUUACUUUUUCCUUUUUACUAUUUCCUUUUUGACUCUCGAGCCAUGUGCUUUACGCGUUAAUUGACACUAACAUGCUACCUCAUACACAACUGUGACCCACUGUCAUCAAGAUUCUUAAAUAUGACUUUUUUUUGUUCAGCACUUGCAAAUUGUUUUUGAGAAGUAUCCCAAUGGCAGCUACUCCCAAUAAACAAUUCAAGAACUAUGGCAAACAUAAAGAGUUCGUUGAAGCAGCCAUAAAUCUUGGUCGCAACAUAGUAGAGAGAAAAUUAUACUUGGUGUAUGGAGGAGGUAACUGAGGGUUAUCAAAAUUGGUCUCAGAAGCUGCUUUUUUCAGAGGAAGCCAAGUGUUAGGCAUCAUUCCAAGAGCCCUAAAACCUUUGGGCAGUUUGUCUGACUCACCAACUGGAGAAGAAUUAGUUGUCUCAGGUAUGCAAGAAAGAAUAACUGAAAUGCUUAAUCAUGUUGAUGCUUUUAUUUUCCUACCAGGAGAUCUUGCAACUCUAGAGGCACUUAUCACAUUAGCAUCUUGGGCCUAUCUGCACAUUCACCAGAAACCCAUCGGUUUGCUAAAUGUCAAUAACUUUUAUGAUGGCUUCAUCGCAUUUCUUAACCAUGCAAUAAAAAUCUAUUUCAUUCCUUCCACAGCGAAAAAGCUUUUUAUUUGUGCUCAUACUGCUAAUGAGCUACUUGAUAUGUUACAAGCUUAUAGACCGGAGCCAGACCCCUGGACCUUGGUGUUGGAGCGUCCAAAUAAUGAUGGUAACAGUAGCCGCAGUAAAAAGUACAAAUUAGACUUAACUCUCCGCUUGUAAAUAUUUUCUUUUGUGUUACACCACCCAGGUGAUGUCUUCUAAACUCUACUUCUUUUCUUUAAAACAUUGAGGACAAUGUUUCGUUCUGGUUGGGGGGAGGGAAUAGUCGACAAUUGUGAAAUCUUGGUUAAGUUUUUACUAAUUUUUUUGUUGUAGAGACUAACCGUGGCUAACUUUUGUGUUGAAGAUGGCUGAAUAUGGAAUGUAGUGACUCUAGAAGCGCAUCUUCUUUGUUUGAAAAAAAAAACAAAAAAAUAAAAAAACGAAAAAAAAAUUUCGGACAUUUUCUUUUUCUUUAUUAAGUUUUGAAAAUAAUUUUUCUUCUUCUUUUUAAUUUCUCCUUUAUAAAUAUACACUUUCAAAUUUUUGAGUCGAAGAUGGCUGAAUAUGGAGUGCAGUGCCUCUAAAAAUGCAUCUUCUUAGUUAAAAAAAAAACCAUUUUCGUUUUCUAUCAUUUUAAGUGUAACUUUUCUAAUUAGCUUUUCUGCAUCAUUUUUCACCUUUCUGCAUGCAUAUCUUCUUUUCAUGUUUAGAAUAGGUUGGGGGGUAGACUGUCAUUUAAAAACAAUUGUGUGAUUUUUUUUUUAUAUUGGAUGACAUGAUGACUUUCAAAUUUUAGUAUUUGUAUUAUCUCUGGUCUUAAGUGAUAUUAUGCUAUGUUUGCUAUUUUAUAUGUUGAUGUCGGAGACAAAUAUGAGUUACUUGAAGGAAUGCACAUGUCAUAAUAAAUACCAAGUGAGUUUUUUAGCCUGUCAUUUUUCUUGUAAAGUAACCCAUUUUGCCCAUUCUUUAUACAGCUUAGCAGUUUAUUAUUUUAUAUAUGAUCUCUAAAUUUUUUUUGAGUCAACUCUCUAAAAAGAAAAAAAAUUAAGAUAAAAAAAAGAAGAAGAAAAUGUGUGUUGCUAGUAGAUAUGGAAGAUUAUUUAGAGCCUUAAAAGACGAUGGAAAGGCCAUCUUUGACCCGUUUGAGCCUUUCUAGCCAUCCCUUUUGUGAAAAAUCCAUAGUUAACCCUUUUGAGCCUUUAUUAAAAAAAAAACUUUUCUUUGUCAAACUUAUCAUCUUGAUCCACUCCAAUUUGGAGUAUUACCCUAUAUUUUACAAGUUCCAUCACCUAUUUAUGUUUGAGAAAAAUGUAAAUAAUUAUUUUGUUUAGUGAAGUUGUGCCAAACAAAAGAAAAAAAAGAAAAAAAUUGUUGUUUAAAAAAAAAGAAAAAAAAAACAAUAAUAGGUGAAAUCCACCUUGUAAUUUCCAAAAGAUUUCUACUUUUUCUCAAACAUAUAUUUUAUUUUUUCCUAUUUUCCUUCAUUUUUUAGCCAUGUUCUUAGCCUACGUUACAUCCUAAUAAAAGUCCUUCCUGAUUUUAGGGAGCUAUAGUCUGAAGUAGAAGCUAGUUAUAUGGGCUAAAAAGAUGUAGUGGUGCAUAAAAAACUAAAUAAACAAAUAAAUAAAUUGGGUUGACUAGCAUUUUUGUUUGACUUAGAAGAUCGUAUUAUUUCUAAGCUGUGGGCAUAUUUCUUUCAUCUUGGUGAGAGCGUGUGACAUUACUUCUUUAUUAUUUUCUCUCAAAUUUAGCAUUCAUUGAAGUGACUAUUUUUAUUGGGUUUAAUUUCCUUGUGAGAGUGUCACUACAUCCAGUGAGAUUUUGGGGUUUGACAUGUCAUUCUUGAAAGUAGUUGUGACAAAGUCUAUUGGGCUGAUUCAUGUGGAUGGUUGAUGUGGGUGUGAUGUUUCUGUAGACUGGAGAUAAUGCUUAUACUUUUAUUUGAUUGCUAUCAUUAGUCUGAUUGAAUAAACACAAGUGUUAAAAAAAAACAUUUUGGAUUUGAAUUUUGUUGUCGCUUUAUUUGCUAGGGACUAGCAAUAAGCUGGUUGGGGGGUGUGUUGAGUGUUAGAAAGUGUAUAUUUAUAAAGGAGAAAAUCAUCAUUUUACAAUUUAGGAAGAUUUGAAUACCAAUAGGUUUUUUGGUAAUCAAAGAAGUAGUGAAGACUUUGCCGUUGAUGGCUUUGAAAUGUUCUUCAGACUCGGUCUAGUAUUGUGAUGGAAGAAUGUGUGGAUUUAACAUGCUUCAUUGGGCGCCAGUGUCGAUGAGGCCAAUGGCUGGGACGGGCCUUUGGAACUUUGAGGGCAAGAUCUGGAGUUUAAUGGAAGGUAUAGGAACAACAGUGUCGAGGGACAGUAACUGUUGGUGGAAAAUCACUUGGGACUGAUCACCGUCGGAAUCAUCAGAGGAGUUGUGCAGUGCGAACACAGUUUCAUCAUUGGGUUCAUCUUGUUCAGAGAAAUAGAAUUCCAGUUCAUCCUUCUCGGGAGAGUAGUCUGUAGUGGCUUGAAGAUGCUCAACUAGCCGAAUAGAUUUUUCCCUUUUGUUGGGACAAUCUUUGGCGUAAUGGCCUUUUCUCUUGCAGAUGAAACAUCUGCUUGAUUUUCUCCGUUUAAAGUCUCUAGAAGAAGAUGACUUCUUUCUGAAGAAUCUGUAAGGCUUUUUGGAUCUGCGAGGUCUGGAUGAAAAUUCUGGAUUUUUGAAUUUCCUAAAAUGCCUUUCUUCUUAGAACUGCAAUCACAAUCCUUUUUCUUCUGACAUUUGAUUUGCAAAUAAGGCUUUUUGCAAGCACUCCGGAAUGGUUCUUUAUCUUUCAACAGUUCUUUAAAAAACUGUUUCUGCUCACAAAGUUUGUCAAGACAAGUUUUGGCAAGCUGGAAGAUUUUGCCAAGAGAGAUGUUGUCAAGAACAAGAUUGGAUGCGGUGAGUUGUCGCUGUAUGUCUGGCUGGAGUUCUUCUGGUAGGGAGGCCAGAAAGACAUGCUUUAAUGUCGGCUUAUUGAAUCCAUUAAGCUUAUAGAACAACAAGGACAUUCGUUUGUAAUGGAAAUCAAGAUCCUUAGCAUUGAGGGAACAACAUUUCAUGUUGAGAUAGUCUCGGCGUGCAGGUUCAAAAACUGCAGAGGGGUCUCCAAGAAAUUGAUCAUGGAGAACCGCAAGAGCACUUGAGACUUCUGGUAGAUCAACAAACUGUAAUCGGCGGUAGCACCCUAAAGAAUCAAACCAAUCUCUUAGAGCACCCGUAAAACGAGUAGCAAAUUCUCUAAGGACUGAUUGAGUUGUGGCUCCUGGCCGUAGCAUUUGGAGGUCAAUCCAGGCGGACAUUUCAUUAAGUCGGUCAUGCCAUUUAUGAUAUGGAAGAUCAUCAAAUGUGAACCAUGGACCAUUCGACGAUUUUUGACUUGUAGAACCGGUCUGGGCUUGAGCUGGAGGAGGUUGGUUUAUGGCAGAAGAUUCAGGCAUUUCUUCUUCAACUUCAGAGGGAAUAUCAACAUAUGGUUCUGUAUGAGAAGUUUGGCCUUGGGCAUGUUGGUCAGGUUGAGCCAUCAAGAUUUUAGUGAUAUCAGCAUAGGACUUUUCAGAGUCACUGGUGGAUGCUGAAGAUUCUGUGUCAGUUUUGGUAUGGCUAUCAGAAACAGCUAGAUUUGAAUCAGAAGUUUGGUCAUCUAAAGAAGAUGAGUGGUCGACUUUGUGGGCACUAAACUGGUGCACGGGUUCUUUAUCCUUAGAUUGGGUCGGAGGUUGGGAUAAAGGGGCUGAUGGAGGAGCUGGUGGUGAUGCCGGCGCAUAACCAGCAGAUAGUUGGCCAGGGAUGGAAAUGGAUGAAGGAUGAAUUGUGAUAGGUCGUGGUUGUGGUCUAGGCUUUGAUUUUGAUUUAGGUGGUGGUUGUAAGGGGUGGUCUCUAAAAAGAGUAUGAGUCAUGCCAAAUAACUUGGAAGGAUUAUACUGUUUGAUCGAGGAAAGCAUAGAGGCAAAUGGGUGAUAAGUUGGACCGAUGGAAGGGAUAGGAGGGGAUGUGAUAAAAAGAGUAGGUCUUUAUUUUUCAGAUUCAAUAUGAUCAAGCUCAGCUUUUAAGCGUCUGAUUUCCCUUUCUUUUUGGUUAAAUUCUGGGCCAUAGUAGCGCUGGGCAAGCAUAAUUUGUAACUCAGAAUCGAGUUGAGCAAUUCUAGACUGGAGAUUGUGAUGGAUCUGCUGCAUCUGUGUAGUGAUGGAGUCAACUUUUGUCUCAAGUUGUUCAGUUUGCAAAUUGAUUUUUUCAACUUUGGAAUUGAUAUUCAACAAAGUAUCAUUCUGUGCUCUGGCAUUUUGGGUUUGCCAGUUGAGGACUGAUUCAAAUGGUUUGGGAGGUUCAAGGUGGCCAGAGGAGGUAAUUGGUGAAGGGACAAAGGGUUUAGACACAACAUUUCGUUGGGAAUCUGUGUGAGUGUCUAAGGGAGGAAAAGAAGAAGAAUAGUCUGAAGAAGUAGAUGAAAAUAUCAUACAAGUCAGUGGUGGUGUUGGAAAUGGGAUUGGUGAUGGAGUCUCAUAUCUGCAAUGCUUUGCAAUCCAUUGAAGUUCCUUUUUGUAAAAGGGUAAUGGAGCUGGUGGAGGGGGAGGAUCUUGCGGUGGUUUGGGGUCACAAUGGUGACAUGAGGCUGGAGAUUUUUUCUUUUUGUUUUUCUUUUUCCUUGUGGUGGCAUAAUCAUUAUCCUCUUCCUAAUCAUCCCAGCAAGGACAAUUUGGGUCACACAUGCCGGAGCCAGGGGCAUCCCAUAGGAAAUGGCCAUUUUACUUGGCUGGAUAAGCUAGGUAACCUUCAGAGUUGAACCCUGUAAUGGGUAAAUCUUCCUGGGCUGUCUGAACAAUUGUGAUAAUUGAAGAAUAGGUAAAGGAGAGCCGAGGAGGCUCUUGUGGAGCACUUGGAGGAGGUUUAAAAGUCAUUCGGACUGUUCCAUCUUGGCUUUUUUUAAACAUGCUUUCAGAUGUCUGAAUUGGAGCAGUAUUGUUAUGGAACUGUUCAUAGUUGGAGAUCCAUUCAAGAGGCAUAAGCUUGAUGAGCUCAUGACAUGGAAUUUGUCUUGGGAUUUGGAUUAUGGUUGGGAUCUGGUUAGAUUCAGCUAAUACCAUGAGGGUAUCAGAAUGGUGGUCUGGAGUGGGGAGAUCUAAGGCAUGAUUUUGAAGCCUAUAGACCAAUUGAUGGUGUAAGGUGGCAAUUUUGGCAGAAGAAAUUUGUUCAGCACCUUGGAUCUGAACUUGGACUUUUAAGGUUGUGGGCAAAUUGGGGUCUUGGAGAGAAAGGUUAAAGUUUGGAUAAAAGGUGAGUAAAACACUGCCUGCAUGAAGUGUUGUGAGGAUAGUGCCAAUAACAGCAUCUUGGUAUUGUUUAAACCGGGUAUCAAGCAUGGCAAGGCGAGCUGUAACCGGUAAUCCCUUUCUUCCCAUGAAGAGUAAGGAUUGAUCGGAUGCCUCCAAGAUGAAGAUGAGUAUAACCUUCUUGUUUCCAAUGGGAAAGCAACUCGGAGGGAAUUUCCAGAGUGACAUAUUGCUCAACAGAGGUGGCUUGGAGAGCACACUAAUCCAAGCGAGAAGACUGGAUAUAUUCCUUAGAGUGAGGGCGUCAGGUAGAGAUGAGGGUGCAUAUACUGCAGGUAAAGGAGCUAGGCUGUUUGUACAACUGAUAAGGGCUAAUGAGAGGAUAGGAUGACUCACUAAUUUGGGCAGACUUAGGGAUGUAGGAAUAUUCGACAAGGUUUUCGAUCUUAUUAGUGGUAUGAGAAGUGCAAGAUCUGGGCAAAGAAAGAGUAGAAGAAAGAGUAACAUGAGUGGAAGAUGAAGUAGAAGCCAUGAAUGAGAAGUUCUCUCUCUGCGCCUGAAGACUUAAGAUCAAAAGAGAAAGACUUAAUUCAUACCAUUUUGAGCAGGAAAAGAAGAGUUUUGAAAACAGAAACGUUUCAAGGAUGAGUAUGGCUAUGAUACCAUAAAUGUAUGUGGCGUUGUUCUACCUGAUCUACGACAGCACAAGUCUAUCCUUAGGGCCAGUAGCUCGCAAGUUCUGGUUUCCAACCGAUAUACAUAAAGGUACAAAACCUAAAACGAUUCUUUAGAGGUUAUAUAACCCAAAACAGACUUUUCUUAGUCUUAAAACAGGGUACUAAACCGUUUAAGAAAUCAUCAUUGGGUUCAUCUUGCUCAGAGAAAUAGAAUUCCAGUUCAUCCGUCGCGGGAGAGUAGUCUGUAGUGGCUUGAAGAUGUUUGACUAGCCGGAUGGAUUUCUCGCAUUUGUUGGGACAAUCUUUAGCAUAAUGACCUUUCCUCUUGCAAAUGAAACAUUGGCUUGAUGAUUUUUGUUUGAAUUCUCUAGAGGAAGAUGAUUUUUUUCUGAAGAAUCGGUAGGGCUUUCUGGACCUACGGGGUUUGGAUGAAAAUUCUGGAUUUUUGAAUUUCUGAAAAUGCCUUUUCUUCUUAUAACUGCAAUCACAAUCCUUUUUCUUUUUACAUUUGAUCUGCAAAUAGGGCUUUUUGCAGGCACUCCUGAACGGUUCGUUAUCUUGCAACAGUUCUUUGAAAAACUGUUUCUGCUCGCAAAGUUUGUCAAGGCAUGUUUUGGCAAUCUGGAAGAUUUUGCCAAGAGAGAUGUUGUCAAGGAUGAGAUUGGAGGUGAUGAGUUGCCGUUGUAUAUCGGGUUGGAGCUCUUCUGGAAGGGAAGCCAGAAAGACAUGCUUUAAUGUUGGCUCAUUGAAGCCAUUAAGCUUAUAGAAUAGUGAGGACAUUCGUUUGUAAUGAAAGUCAAGAUCCUUAGCAUUGAGUGAGCAGCAUUUCAUGUUGAGAUAAUCUCGUCGUGCAGCUUCAAAAACUACAGAGGGGUCUCCAAGGAAUUGAUCAUGAAUAACCGCAAGGGCACUUGAGACUUCUAGUAAUUGAACAAACUGUAAUUGUCUGUAUUGGCCUAAAGAAUCAAACCAAUCUCUUAGAGCACCCGUAAAACGAGUAGCAAAUUCUCUAAAGACUGAUUGGGUCGUUGCUCCUGACCGUAGCAUUUGGAGGUCAAUCCAAGCAGACAUUUCAGUAAGUCUCUUGCGCCAUUUAUGAGAUGGAAGAUCAUCAAAUGUGAACCAUGGACCAUUUGAUGAUUUUUGACUUGUUGGACCGGUCUGGGCUUGGGCUGGACGGGGUUGGUGUGUUGCAGAGAAUUCAGGUAUGUCCUCAUCAACUUCUGAAGGAAUAUCAACAUAUGGUUCUGUGUGAGAGGGUUGGCCAUGAUCAGGUUGAUCAGGUUGGGCCAUCAAGAUUCUGGUGAUAUCAGCAUAGGACUUUUCAGAGUCACUAGUGGAUAUUGAAGACUCUGUGUCAGACUCAGUAUGGCUGUUGGAAAUGGCUAGAUUGGAAUCAAAAGUUUGAGCAGAAGUUUGAUCAUCUGGAGUAGAUGAUGGAUCUACGGUGUGGGCACUAUACUGGUGCAUGGGUUUUUUAUCCGACAGUGCAGACCAGACUAGUGCCUAUUCAAGAUCACCUCUGGAAUUUACGUCGUCGGUUUCCCGUCGAUAUACUCAAAUGAGGAAUCAAAACUUUUGUUAAAACACCUUCUUUCUCGGGUUAUUUAACCCAAAACAGACUUUCCUUUAGUCUAAAAUAGGAUACCAAACCAGAUAAGAAUUUGUUCCAAAAGUUUUCUGAUGCACAGGAUCCUUACUGGAAGGCAAGUGCAGAGCAUACUUCCUUAGGUUUCAAAAUGAACAAAUUUAAUUCUUUAUUCUUUUUCUUUCUCUAGAGAGCUUCAUUUGCAGAGAGAGGAGAGAGGUUUAGAGAUUCAUAGUGAUAAAAACACACGAGAGUUUAUUGCUUCAAACUUCUAUAUUCUAUAUUACAAGCAAGGGGAGAAUCCUUUAUAUAGGAGAAUUCUCAGAGAAGAUAGGACAGGACCCCUAUCUUUUUUCAAAAGCAAAAGAUAAAGAUACGACAACAUAGAUCAUGACUUCUCAAGUGAUCAUGACCUGUAGCACACCUUUUUGUAAAGCCAAGCCCACCGAUCAAGACUUUAGACAAAUGGACAAAAGAUAAAGCAUGCUUACAAAGACUUUUACAACUGGCAAAAGCCAAAGCGUAAGGCAAGCCAAGACAAAAUCAUAAAGUAAAACAUAAUUAUUACAACAAGGCAAACUACUUUAUUGAAAACAACAAGACAAACAACUUUAUGGAGAGCGGGGAUUCAUGUACUCGUCUUCGGAUGAGCUUUCAGUUUCAUAGGGAUUGUCACAGUUGGAUUUUGGGAAAAAGGUUUGGGAGAGCUUUGGAUGCUUACAGUGGGGACCACGGCAAGGGGGAUAAGGACAAUCUCGUCGGUAUCCUGGCCUUGGUGAUGUUUGAGUGGCUUUGUCAACUUUGGAGGGUUUAGUGGUCGUGUCAGCAUUGGGAGGUUGGGAUGAGGAUCCUGGUUCAUUCAUGGAUGGUUGUGGAAACUGUUGGAGAUGUUGGCUGAGAGGAAGGAAAUCUUCCCAUGGGUCUUGGGAGUCUUGGUAUAGAAAGUCAGUGUAGUCGGGUCAUUCUUCUUUAAUGAUGAUACCUGUGGACUUAGGUUUAGAUAUGGCGGAUGGAGUGGGGAUCAUGAGGAGGUCAUGUUGUGGGACUAAGGAGGUGUGGAAGAUGUCUUUAAGUGGCGGAGGUUGGUGGUUUAAUUGGCAAAGGUAGUUGUGAAGGACAUCUUGGAUUUCAUUUUCAAUGACAGCUAGAUGUGGGGCAGUGAACCAUUCAUAUACCUGGUCUUGGGUCCAAAAGAGUUUUGUGUCUGGAUGUUGAAAGUAUGGCCUGUGAAUGAUAAAGACUGAGGUAAACAUUUGUGCUUCCGAGGCAAGCAUACGUUCAAGGUUGUAAAUUUCAGACAAUUAUUGUAGCUUCUUUCUCCACCAUGGUAUUGGGGAGAACCAUUCAAGUAAUGUCCACGUAAGAGAGGUGGCUUUGUCUGGGUCAAGGAGAUGUUCCAAAGUGGGAGUAAUUGGUAGGACUAACUUAGUGGCAUAAAGGACUGUUAGGCACCAGAUGUACCAUAACACAUCUUCAGUGGUUUCUCUGGAUGGAUCAAGGGUUAAACCUGUAAGGAACAGAUUUUCUGGGUGGAAGGAGGAAAAUGGAAAGGGUUCUGUUACAAGGUAGGCUUUCAUGAAGAAGCGAAAGAGAGCUUUUCUUGCAAACUCUUGGAUGGCAAAGACAGAAGAAAAGGUUUUAUUAAAGGGAAAAGUUUUCUUGGUGAGAGCUUCUAGGGGUAGUGAUGUAGCCAUGGAGAUGAUCGGAAAGUGGUAUGUAGUGGAAAACAGGGUGAGAGGUUUUUCUGGUUUUGAGAGUCUGGAUAGCAUAUCAAGGAUGAGGUUCUGGGAUCCCUUUAUAUGCUUGACCGAAAAGUCAUAUUUGGAAAACCAAUCUUUUAAUAUGAGUAACAUUUUUUCGGGAACAGUUUUACCUUUGAAAUUGAGAAUAUUGGGGAAGGCUGAACUGUCCAUACGGAUGAGAAAAUGGUGUCCAAUCAGAUGAUACUUAAAUUUUUUUAUGCCAUUCUUUACCGCUAAGAUUUCUUUGAACACGCUAUGGUAAUGCUUCUGUGUGUCAGAAAAUUGUCCGCUAGCAUAUGCGAUAAAGUGUUCUUUUCCAUUGAUGUCUUUAAGGAGGAUGGCACCCCAUGAUUCAUCACUUGCGUCUGUUUGUAAUAUGCGCUUUCCAUCAGUAAUCAACUUUAAAGGAAGCGAAUUUUGCGCAAUUUGCUUAAGAGUAGUGACAACAUUUGUGUGGUCAGCAUUCCAUUCUAGGGGCUUCUUUUUUAAUAAAGCUGAGAGGUGGCGAGUUGAGUGGUCCACAUGUGGGAUGAAGUCUCUGAUAUAAUUAAUGAUGCCGAGAAACUGUUGAACUUGCUUUUUGGAAAGUUGCUGAUCUGGAAAGUGAAGCAACUCUUGGGCAAUGUGUUUUCCUGGCUAAUAAUGGCCAUCUUUUAUGAUCAUGCCAAGGAAUUCAAUGUUCUCCGUGGCAAUGGUGCUUUUCUUGGCAGACAGCAUAAUUCCAUGAUUUUGGACAAUAUCAUAGAAUUGGGUUAACAGCUGGCAAUGUUCAUCAUGUGAUCCUGAAAAAAGCAAGAUAUCGUCAAUGUAAAUCAAUGCAUGAUGCAGGAUGGGCUGAAAGAUAUGGACCAUGGAUUUUUGGAAAAUGGAUAGGGCAGUUUUGAGGCCAAAAGGUAGGACGGUCCAUUGGAAAUGGGCAUUUGGGAUACAAAAAGCAGUUUUGUAACGCUCAGAGGGUUCAAUGCCUAAUUGCCAGAAACCUGAUUUUAAAUCGAAUUUUGAAAAGAUCUGGGCAUUUUUGAGAAAAGUAAACAUGCUUUGUCGACGGGGCAAGGGAAACUUGUCAUCUUGUAAAAACAUGUUUAAUGGCUGGUAGUCAAUGACUGGGCGUUUCUUUCCUCGGACAAUUUCAGAAUGCUUUUCAACAUAAAAGGCUUGGCAAGCCCAUUGAGAAUUCGUGGGCUCAAUUAGACCUUGGGCUAACAAUUGGGAACAUUCUUGUUGGGCUAGGAGUAAGUCAGAAGGACUCAUUCCUGGGUGGGUAGCUUUGGUUGGGUUAAUAUCUUCAUUGAGUUUGAAAGGUAACUUAAUGAAGAAAGAUUUAUUUUUCCACAAUGGGUUUGGAUGGGUGAACUCAGAAUGGGACUCUGGACAGAAACUCAAAAGUUUGGUGGAAAUAUCCUGGUAGGACUGGGGGGUUUCAGACAGAUUAUAGAGUUUCAGAAUGUCUGUGAAAGGUUUGAACAUGAACUUGACUCGAAUUCCAGUGGGAAGGAUUUGAAGGUGUUUGAUCUGGUGAAGGAUGUCAAAACCUAACAAGAGAUCCUUAUUAGGAAGGGUUGAACCGAUGACCUUGGUCCAAAUGACACAAUUGGGGAAAAUUUGAAUACCAAUGGGUUUUUUGGUAAUCAAGAAGGUGGUGAAUAGUUUGCCAUUGACGGCUUUGAAAUGUUCUUUAUAUUCUGUCCAGUAUUCUGGUGGAAGAAUAUGUGGGUUUAACAUGCUGCGUUGGGCACCAGUGUCUAUGAGACCAAUUGCUGGAACGGGCCUUUGGAACUUUGAGGGCAAGAUUUGGAGCUUGAUGGAUGGUAUAGGAAUAGAAGUGUCAAGGGACAGUAAUUGUUGGUGGAAAAUGGCUUGGGACUGAUCACUGUCUGAAUCAUUAGAGGAGUUCUGCAGUGCGAACACUGUUUCAUCAUUGGGUUCAUCUUGUUCAGAGAAAUAGAAUUCCAGUUCAUCCUUUUCUGGAGAGUAAUCUGUAGUGGCUUGGAGAUGCUCAACUAACCGAAUAGAUUUUUCUCGUUUAUUGGGACAGUCUUUAGCAUAAUGGCCUUUCUUCUUGCAGAUAAAACAUCUGCUUGAUUUUCUCCAUUUAAAGUCUCUGGAAGAAAAUGACUUCUUUCGGAAGAAUCUGUAAGGCUUUCUGGAUCGACGAGGUCUGGAUGAAAAUUCUGGAUUUCUGAAUUUCUUAAAAUGCCUUUUCUUUUUAGGACUGCAAUCACAAUCCUUCUUCUGCUUGCAUUUGAUCUGCAAGUAAGGCUUUUUGCAGGCACCCCGGAAUGGUUCUUUGUCUUUCAACAGUUCUUUGAAAAACUGCUUCUGUUCGCAGAGUUUAUUGAGACAGGUUUUGGCAAGCUGGAAGAUUUUGCCAAGAGAGAUGUUGUCAAGAACAAAAUUGGAUGCGGUGAGUUGUCUUUGUAUGUCUGGUUGGAGUUCGUCUGGUAGGGAGGCCAGAAAGACAUGCUUUAAUGUUGGCUCAUUGAAUCCAUUAAGCUUAUAGAACAGCAGGGACAUUCGCUUGUAAUGGAAAUCAAGAUCCUUAGCAUUGAGGGAACAAUAUUUCAUGUUGAGAUAGUCUCGUCGUGUAGCUUCAAAGACUACAGAAGGGUCUCCAAGGAAUUGAUCAUGGAGAACAGCAAGAGCACUUGAGACUUCUGGUAGAUCAACAAACUGUAAUUGGCGGUAGCGACCUAAGGAAUCAAACCAAUCUUUUAGAGCACCCGUAAAACGAGUAGCAAAUUCUCUAAGGACUGAUUGAGUUGUGGCGCCUGGCCUUAGCAUUUGAAGGUCAAUCCAGGCAGACAUUUCAUUAAGACGAUCACGCCAUUUAUGAGAUGGAAGAUCAUCAAAUGUGAACCAUGGGCCAUUGGAAGAUUUUCGACUGGGUGGACUGGUUUGGGCUUGAGCUGGAGGGGGUUGGUUUGUGGUAGAGGAUUUAGGCAUUUCUUCUUCAACUUUUGAGGGAAUAUCAACAUAUGGUUCUGUAUGGGAGGUUUGGCCUUGAGGAGGGUGAUCAGGUUGGGCCAUCAAGAUUCUGGUGAUAUCAGCAUAGGACUUUUCAGAAUCACUAGUGGAUACUGAAGAUUAUGUGUCAGUCUUAGUAUGGUUAUCAGAAACAGCUAGAUUUGAAUCAGAAGUUUGGUCAUCUAUAGUAGAAGAGCGAUUGACCGUAUGGGCACUAAACUGAUGCAUUGGUUGUUUAUCUUUGGAUUGAGAAGGUGGUUGGGAUUCAGUUGGUGGUGGAGGUACUGGUGGCGAUGCCGGAGUAUGACCAGGAGAGUGUUGGCCAGGGAUGGUAAUGGAUGGUGGAUGAAAUGUGACGGGUCGCGGUUGAGGUUUAGGCUUUGGUUUAGGUUUAGGUGGUGGUGGUAAGGGAUUGUCUCUGAAAAGGGUAUGGGUCAUGCCAAAUAACUUGGAAGGAUCAUAUUGUCGGAUGGGGGAAAGCAUAGAGGCAAAAGGAUGAUAAGGUGGACCUAUGGAAGGGAUAGGAGAUGAUGUGGUAAAAAAGGUAGGUCUUUGUUUUUCAGAUUCAAUCUGAGCAAGCUCAGCUUUUAAGCGUCUGAUUUCUCUUUCCUUUUGGUCAAAUUCGGGGCCAUAAUAGCGUUGGGCAAGCAUAGCUCGUAGUUCAGAAUCGAGUUGGGUAAUUCGGGACUGGAGAUUUUGGUGGAUCUGCUGCAUCUGUGCAGAGAUGGAGUCAACUUUUGUCUCAAGUUGUUCAGUUUGUAAACUGAUGUUCUCAACUUUGGAGUUGAUAUUCAACAAAGUAUCAUUCUGUGCUCUGGCAUUUUGAGUUUGCCAGUUGAGAACUAAUUCAAAAGGUUUGGGAGGUUCUAGGUGGUCGGAUGAGGUAAUUGGUGAAGAGACAAAGCGUUUGGACACAACAUUUCAUUGGGAGUCGGUAUGGGUUUCUAAAGGAGGAAAAGAGGAAGAAUAGUCUGAAGAACUGGACGAAAACAUCAUACAAGUCAGUGGUGGUGUUGGAAGUGGGAUUGGUGAUGGAGUCUUAGAUUUGCAAUGCUUUGCAAUCCAUUUGAGUUCCUUUUUGUAAAUGGGUAAUGGAGCUGGUGGAGGUGGUGGAUCUUGUGGUGGUUUUUUCUUUUUGGGUUUCUUUUUCCUUGUGGAAUAAUCAUCAUCCUCUUCCCAAUCAUCCCAGCAGGGACAAUUUGGGUCACACAUGCCUUAGACAUCCCAUAGGAAAUGUCCAUUUUGCUUUGCUGGAUAUACAGGGUAGCCAUCAAAAUUGAACCCUGUAAUGGGCAGAUCUUCUUGGGCUGUCUAGACAGCUAUGAUCAUUGAAGAAUAGGUAAAGGAGAGCCGAGGAGGCUCUUGUGGAGCACUGGGAGGUGGUUUAAAGGUCAUUCGAACUGUUCCAUCUUGGCGUCUUUCAAACAGACUUUCAGAUGUCUGAAUUGGAGCUGUAUUGUUAUGGAACUGUUCAUAGUUGGAGAUCCAUUCAAGAGGCAUAAGCUUGAUGAGCUCAUGAUGGGGAAUUUGUCUUGGGAUCUGGAUUAUGGUUGGGAUCUGGUCAGAUUCGGCUAAGAUCAUGAGGGUAUCAGAAUGAUGUUCAGGAGUGGGUAGAUCUAAGGCAUGAUUUUGAAGCCUAUAGACCAAUUGGUGGUGUAAGGUGGCAAUUUUGGCAGAAGAAAUUUGUUCAACAUCUUGAAUUUGGACUUGAACCUUCAAGGUUGUGGGCAAGUUGGGAUCUUGGAGAGAAAGGUUGAAGUUUGGGUAAAAGGUAAGCAAAACACUUCCUGCAUGGAGAGUUGUAAGAACAGUGCCAAUAACAGCAUCUUGGUACUAUUUAAACUGGGUGUCAAGCAUAGCAAGGCGAGCUGUAACCGAUAAUCCUUUUCUUCCAUGAAGAGUAAGGAUUAAUUUGAUGCCUCCAAGAUGAAGAUGAGUAUAACCUUCUCGUUUCCAGUUGGAGAGCAACUCGGAGGGAAUCUCCAGAGUGAUAUAUUGCUCAGCAGAGGUGGCUUGAAGAGCACACUGAUCCAAGCGGGAAGACUGGAUAUAUUCUUUAGGGUGAGGGCGUCUAGUAGAGAUGAGGGUGCGGAUACUGCGGGUAAAGGAGCUAGGUCGUUUGUACAACUGAUAAGGGCUAAUAAGAGGGUAGGAGGACUCACUGAUUUGGGCUGAUUCAGGGAUAUAAGAGUAUUCUACAAGGUUUUCAAUCUUAGUGGUGGUGCAUGAGUUUGAGGUUAGGAUUGAGGUGGCAGUGGAGGUACGAGCGGUGGGGACUGUUGUUCAGGAAUGGACAUGGAGGGCGGAGAAAUUUUGACGGGGUAUGGUUGAGGUUUAGGUUUUGGUUUAGGUUUAGGUGGUGGCGGUAAGGGAUUGUCUCUGAAAAAGGUAUGAGUCAUGCCAAAUAACUUGGAAGGGUCAUACUAUUUGAUGGGGGAAAGCAUCGAGGAAAAUGGAUGAUAAGUUGGACCUAUGGAAGGGAUAGGAGGCGAUGUGGUAAAAAGGGUAAGUCUUUGUUUUUCAUAUUCAAUCUGAUCAAGCUUAGCUUUUAAGCGUCUGAUUUCCCUUUCUUUUUGGUCAAAUUCUGGGCCAUAGUAUCUUUGAGCAAGCAUGGUUCGUAACUCUAAAUCUAGUUGAGUAAUUAUGGAUUGAAGAUUGUGGUGGAUCUGCUGCAUCUGUGCAGUAAUGGAGUCAACUUUCGUCUCAAUCUGUUCAGUUCGUAAACUGAUUUUCUCAACUUUUGAAUUGAUAUGCAACAAAGUAUCAUUCUGUGCACUGGCAUUUUGGGUUUGCCAGUUAAGGACUGAUUCAAAAGGUUUGGGAGGUUUUAGGUGGCCAGUUGAGGUAAUAGCUAAAGGGAUAAAAGGUUUGGAUACCACAUUUCGUUGGGAAUUUGUGUGAGUUUCUAAUGGAGGAAAGGAGGAAGAGUACUCUGAAGAGGUAGUAGAAGAAAACAUCAUACAAGUUAUUGGUUGUACGAUAGGUGUUGAGUUUGGGAUGGGGGAUAGAAUCUCAAGUUUGCAAUGCUUUGCAAUCCAUUUGAGUUUUGUUUUGUAGAUGGGUAAUGGAGCUGGUGGAGGUGGAGGAUCUCUUGGUGAUUUGGGUUUACAGUGUUGACAUGAGACUGGAGGUUUUUUCUUUUUGGAUCUCUUUUUGGUGGCAUAAUCAUCGUCCUCUUCCCAAUCAUCCCAGCAGGGACAAAUUGGGUCACACAUGCCGGAGCCUGGGACAUCCCAUAGGAAAUGUCCAUUUUGCUUUGCUGGAUAAACAUCGUAUCCGUCAGAAUUGAACCCUGUAAUGGGCAAAUCUUCUUGAGCUAUCUGAAUAGCUGUGAUCAUUGAAGAAUAGGUAAAGGAGAGCCGAGGGGGCUCUUGUGGAGCACUUGGAGGUGGUUUAAAAGUCAUUCGGACACGGCCAACCCUCUCACACAGAACCAUAUGUUGAUAAAACAGCUUUCCUUGCAAACUCUUGGAUAGCAAAGACAUAAGAGAAAGUUUUGUCAAGGGGAAAAGUUUUCUUGGUGAGAGCUUUUUGGCAGACUCAUUUCCAUUUUCUACCUUCCACCCAGAAAAUCUGUUCCUUACAGGUUUAUUGGCGGUAUGAGAAGUGCAGGAGUUGGGCAAAGAAAGAGUAUAAGAAAGAGACAGAUGGAUGAUAAAAAAAUUUUCUAUCAUUCAUUUAUGACAUACUUGUGAUAGAAAUUUCAUCUAUCAAGCACUUAUGAUAGACUGAUGAUAAAUUAUUUGAUUAUCAAGAAGUAAUGACAAAUUUGUGAUAUAAUUUUGAUCAUCAGGUAGCUUUUUUAUUUUGACUUUAUUUCACAAGGUUGACUGAAAAUUUUAAAAUGAAUGAAAACAAUAAAUAAAGAAUAAAUGAUAUCGUUUGCAUUAAUUCUCUUUAGACAAGAAACGGCAUCGUUUAGAUUGAAACUAAAUAAAAACAAAACACUCUUCAAUUUUCACUCAUCGAAUUUUUUUCCCUAAGUGUUGGCAAUCUCACUCUCGUCUUUCGCUCAGUCACUCUCGUCAAUCUCACACUCACAAAGUCCUUUUCGUCGAAAAUCAUUGCAUGGGCACUGAACCACUGCCACAAUUCUGUUGUAUUUCACUAUUGAUUUUGGCUCUCACGAGAACUAUAUGGAAUACCCACCAAACGCAUGUGCUGCUACUAUUGAAUUUCAAUACCCUAACUGAGAACCCUCGCUCACCCACUGUUGUAACCAUUCGAUCAAUACAGGUAAAUAAUAUUUCUAAUGUUGUGUUCCAUUUCAAUUUUAAUUUUCUUGUCAAACUCGAACCCUAUAUAUGUAAAACUUAAAAACCCUAGAUGUGUUCUUGUCAAAUUCGAACCCUACACACCUAAAUCUUGAAAAGCCUAGAUGUUUUCUUGUCAAAUUUGAACCCUGUACAUGUAAAAAUUGAAAAUCCUAGUUGUGCUCUUGUUAAAUUUGGAUCUAUUUGAUUGGUCUUCUAUGUUUCUUUAUUUAUGGAAUUUUAAACAAUUUUUUGAUUUUUUUGGAAUUUAAUUAUUAUAGUUUUAUUGUUAAAUUUGAUUUAGGUUGUAAAGAUCCUUGCCAAUUUAAUCAUGAUGGGUGUUGGGAUAUUGUCUAUGCUGCUUUAUCAUUGGGGUUUUUUUUCACUUUUUGUGGAUGCAUGGAGCUGUGUCAUCUGCCAUGUAAGGAAAAACAAAAACACAUCAAAUUAUAUAUGCAUGCAUGCACGUGCAUGUCCUUUAUAAAACAAGGACAUUUCUCUUCCACUCUUGUCACCUUGCUAACUAAGACAUUUCUCUCCCACCCUCCUUAUCCUCCCUCAUUCAUCCAUCCAUUCAUUUCAACCAACAAAAAAAGAAAACUACUAUACAAUUAAAUUCAAAUGAUUCAAAAUUAAAAAUUAAAACAAAGCAUAAAAUUAAAAUUAACACAAAGUUUAAAUUUAAAAUAAUUAUUAAUCAUUAAUUCAUAAAUUCAUAAAUUAAAACACAAAAAGACUAUUAAAAAAAUCUACUUAAUAGUUAGUAUUACAAAUUGAUUCAAAUAAUUGUUAAUUUAAUUUUAUGAAACUUUUUGAAAUCGAUAUUUCCAAUUUUCCACCAUAAUAUUUAUAUAUGAUCAAGAAUUCAAGAUGCAUAUUCCAUAAAAGAAAACCAAGAAAUUAAUGUAAUUAUUUAAUUUAUAAUAUCUAAUUAUCCAUUGGCCAAAAUAAUAUAAUAUUAAUUACAUAUCCGUAUCUUAAUUUCUUAAUUCUUAUUAUGCCCACAUUAUAUGUACUUAACCACUUAAUAUUUACUUAUUGGUUAUCAUGCAAUUAAUUAAAUUGAUUAAUUAUUUGUUGAAGUUGAAACUUGAAACUACUGCAAUUAAAUUGGUUAAUUUUUGGUUGAAGUUGAAACUAUUGUACAAAUACACAUAUCAUAUGACAUAUAUAAUUAUAAUUUAUAUUGUAACAUAAUAUUUAAUUUUAAUUUUUAAUCUAACAUUACUAUUCAUACAAAAAAUCAAUUAUUAAUAAGUAACAGAAAAUUAAUGCUGGAUUAUUUUCAUUUUAUUGAUAAAAUUUAACAAUAUAUAAUUAUAUAUAAUUAACAUACAAAGUUACAAUUAACAUUUCGCAUAUAACAUAUAAAAAAUAACAAUUAUAAUUAAUCAUUAAUGCAUAUAUAAUUAUAUAUUAUAUAUAUACCAUCACUUAAACAAGUUCAAAAGCCGGAUUUGCUGAUUCGGUUCGGGCUUCAAGAGUUCAAGUUCCAAAUCCAAACUUCCAACUUCCAAAACAGAGAGUGAAGAGACCUUUUGAGUUUUGAGACUGGAGCCGUGACCCGUGAGGCGUGAUCGUGAGGGUGUGGUGGCCGGAUGUCAACUCUCAACAGCCGCGACCCGUGAAUGCCAAUGGUGGAGACUCGAGUAGAUCGGAGGCAGCUUGCCGGGUGGAUCUUCAAUCGGACUGAGUGAUGGUGGAGUGGAGGAUUCAAGGCUUGGAUCCGGCGCUUGGUUGCAGCAGAUCUGUAGAUCGGGUCACGAUCUUCGCGAAUCAGCUUCGGCUUCAGUUGGGGUUGUUCUCGGCAGCGGUUGCUGCGUGUGGUGGCCGGUUGAAGGUAGCUCCGUGAACUGUGCGUGUGUGUUUGUUGCGUGUGGUGAGCGACGGAGACCGUGAGGCGUGAAUGGGUGUGGGUUGGCUGCUUGUGCUUGACGGCUUGAGUGUUGGUUUCAGUGAUUUGUGUGUGACAGUGAGGGUUUGUGAUACCGUGAGGCAGUGACUGGUGAGUGUCUGAGUGAGUGAGGGUUUGUGAGCCAAAAUGAGACUUUGCUUUGCUUGUGUUCUUUUCUUUGUGAAUUACUAAUACUGAAUUGUUUUGUUGCGGUGAGGUGAAUACUUUGUGAAUUACUAUAAAAUGUAAAUCCGUGAAUCUGUGUGACACUGUGAAGUCUGUGAUGUGUGAUUUGUAGAUUCUGUAUUCUGUGAGUUACUGAAUACUGGUUGUCUGAUUCAGUGAUUGUGUCGUGUACUCGUGUGAGUGUGUAUUUGUAUUUUGUAUUAUGUGAUUUGUAUUUGCCAAUUUUUUUUUUCUCAACCCGAUCGGGUUUUCGUAUCGGAUCGGGUUUCACCCGAUCUGAUCAUGAUCCGAUCGGGUUGAGACAAUUUCACCUGAUCGGGUUUUGUUCACCACCUGAUCCGAUCCGAACCCGAAAUUUUUCGGAUCGGAUCGGGUCGGAUCGGGUCGGGUCGGAUAUUUUGCCCACCCCUAACUCCAGUAACAAAUUCAAUCCAUCAAUAUCAGAAAAACAUAUCAUAUUUCAAGACAUUUUCAUAUACUCAGGCCCUACUUUAUGAAACACACAUUUUUUAGAACCAAGCAAUUUUUCUAAGUUCUUUUGACCAUUUGUGAAUUUUAACAUAAUUUUAUUGGGUUCAUUGCUCUUCUUCUUAAGCUCUUCAUUUUCUUUGAUAAAAUUAUCAACAUUUGAUAUUUCAUGCUCAUAUGAGGUACUUUGUUUACCUUUUAAAGAAGUAAUCCUAUCAUGCAAUAUUUCAUUUUCUAAUUCUAGUUCUUUGAUCUUUUCAUUUAGUAAAUCAUUGCAUUUAUGCAAGGCAUCUUUUUCAUUUGAAAGUUCUAGCAUUUUCUUCUUAAGACAUGCAUUUUUCUUACCAAUUUUCAUCAUAUCAUUAUUCAGUUCUUUAAAAGCAUCAUACAAUUCAUUAUAAGUAGGAAGAUCAUUUACCUUAUCAAGUUCGUCAUCUCUUAUUGCCAUAAGUGCUAGGUUUGACACUUCUUGCGAAUCUUCUUCAACGCUAUCGUCCCAAGUAUCCACCAUGGCUUUCUUCUUGAGUUUGUUGAGAAGUGGGCACUCCGAUCUUAUAUGGCCAAGCUUCUUGCAUUCAUAGCAUAUGAUUACUUCUUUCUUCUUCUUUUGGUUAUUGAGAUUUCUGAAUUUUCUUCGCUCUCUGGAUUUCUUAAAAAACUUCCUGAAUUUUCUAGCCAUCAUAGCCAUUUCUUCAUCCUCGAAAUCGUUUUCCUCAUCACUUUUAAGUUUAAAUGCUCUCAAGGCAAUGUUUUUCUUCUUUUUAUCUUCAUCUUCUCUUUCGGCUACCAAAUCCUCUUAAUAAGAAAUAGGAGAGCCACUUAAAUCAUUAAUAAAUAAAGUAUUUAAAUCUUUAGCUUCUUCAAUGCUAGUUCUCUUAAGUCUCCAUUUUUUUUGUAAUGACUUAAUGAUUUUCUUUACCUUCGCACUAUUUGAAAAUAUCUUACCAAGCACUCUUAGAGUGUUUAUUAUAUCCGUAAAUCUAGUAGACAAAGAAUGGACACUCUCAUUUUAUGCUAUUUGGAACAACUUUGUUAGCCUAAAGGGCUACACAUAUUGUAAAUUUGAUGAUAACAAACAUGUGUCUUAAGUAAAUUGAAAAAUAUUGUAUUUCACAUUUUACUAGUUCUUGAAGGAUAAUAUUUACGAUGAAGUGAAUCAAGUUAACUCAAGUUCAAGACACUCAACAGACAACGACUCAAUCAAGAAUAAAGCUUAGACCUCAAUGGACUCAUUAUUAUGAAAAUUCUUGUAAAGUUGGUAUGAUUUAAUAUGUGCAUGGUUUAGCAUUUGAGAAUCUUAAGAUUUUUUUAAUAAAUCAUCAUUUUUCAUAACCAAAGGUUUUCCAAUUAUAAGCCAAAUAUUUUAUGAAAUUAUUUGUUUUUCAAGAUGUGGACUAAAAUGAAAAAGUUUUGUCAUCGUUGAUUUUAAUAAGCAUUGUUUUGAAUUCUAGAUUUUGACCUAUUUGCAAACAUUUGAAACAUUUUGGUCCAUACUAUAAUUUUAGAAAAAAUGAGGAUCUAAGUGUAAAUAUCCAAAAAUGGACAAAGAGUUAGUGGUUAACUGCAUGAGGGCUAACGGCUAGCCGACUAACGAAAAUCUCAUAUUUUCAAAUUUUGGACUAAAUUGAAAGGUUUUGAGAACUUUGAAAUUUAUAAGUAUUUUGUUAAAUUUUGAAAAUGACUUCUUUGAAAAAUAUUAUUAUGUAUUGGGUCAUAUUAUUUAGAAAUUCUGAAAUUAGACCUGGUUGUAAAGUUUUAUGACAUUUUGGGCCAUAAUAUAAUUACAGAAUGUUUUGGGCAAAAAUAUAAAUUUGUGACAGUAUGACUGUAGCAAAAUUCAAAUUUAACGGUAACUUUACUGUUCUGAAGCGGGGAGCUGGCUAAAUUAAACGGCUAGCCGCUUGCUCGCUGGAAUUUGACUAUAACGACUAGUUUUUGGGCUUAAGCUAUAUAAACUCAAUUCCAACUUCAAUUUUAAGACUUUUGCAAGUAUAAACAAGUGCGUACAACUUAUAUUGAGCUUCCAUCAUAAAUCAUCAUAUAUUGAAUCAUCAGUGUGCUAUCAUUUGUAUAUCCACUCUAAAAGAGAGUUUUUGUUGUAAUCUUUGUUUUCUUAUCAAAUUUGUGAGUGUGUAAGUGUGGGAAACACUUGAGUGAAGAGAUUGGGGGAUAAUCUCUUGUUUAAAAGGUUCAUUGACACAUUGGAAGUUCAUUGUAAACAUUUGAAGCAUUGGGAGGCUUGGAUAGUGAAAUCUUCAAGCUUGGUUUGCUUGGAGGCGUGGACGUAGGCGAGGAUUGCCGAACCAUGUAAAAAUCAUUGUGUUUGCUCUCUCUUCCCUUACUCUUUUAUUAUUGUGCUUUAUUAAAUUUAUUAUUUUUUAUUUCAUUAAGGCAAUAUAUUGAAUUGUUGUGUGGUUUUUUAGUUUAAGUUUUAAAAUCACAAUUCACCCCCCUCUUGGGUUGCAUAACUACCAUUUCAAACUCAUAUUGUCUAGUAUACCUACUGAUUUUAGACUCUUUUCACUUGGUUUGUACCCUCAUAGAUAACUUCAAGUUUAUUCCAAAUUUUAUGAGCAUUUCACAACUAAAAACUCUAUGGAAUUAUCCAUAAUCUCUUAACUCAAGUGUAUCCCAACACUUAUAAUCUCUCAACUUGAUUUUACAAAAGGAAUUACAAAUAAAUUUUCUCACACAAUGUGUUUGAUUACAAAUGAAAGUUCAAAAUGUGAAUGGAUGAAACAAAAACAAGUUUAAAGCGCAAUAAGAAUUGUAUACUCAGUAGCAAGCUUGAUGAUAACUCUUGGAUAUCGCUUUGGUUGAAUUUGAUUGAACCAUUUUAUAGUUGGAGCUAAAAACUAGCCGUUGUUGACUUUCUGUACCCAAUCAGAUUGCCAUUACUUAUUAUCGGAUCACCAUUUUAACUUGAGCAAUUGAUCAUUAUGCUACAAUUUCGAAUAGUCGGAUCACCAUUUUUAAGAAGUCAGAUUACCGUUAUCGCUUCAGAAUCUUGUCCGAAAGUAUCGAUUAUCCGUUUGACUUAAACGGUUCACCGUUUGCAAGAUGAUUGCUCUCUAAUUUGUUAUCGGUUUGUCAUUAUCCAUAAACAGCUAUCCAUUAGCAAAGGAUUUCCUCUCUGGAAUGCAAUCGAUUUAUCAUUAUCCAUAAACGAUUCGCCGUUAGCAAAGAACUUGCUCUCUGGAAUGCAAUCGGUUUUCCGUUAUUAAUAAUCAAUUUUCCAUUAGCAAAAGACUUGCUUUCUGGAAUACAAUCGGAUUACCAUUAUCCAUUAAUCCCUAUAAAUUCGGUGUGCCAUUUAGUUAUUAACGGUUAUCCGUUUAUUUCCAGAAAGUUAUUCUAUACUUAGAAUAUUAUACGACUUAAAUAUUUUGAUCAGAUUAACAAAACUUUUUCUAACUUAUCAAUUUAAAACGUGUUUGUUAUCAUCAAAAUCAUUAUUUAGGAAACAUACAAGUUAACAAAUUCUUUCUUGAACAUAUUUAUUAAUUGUUUUCCUUUUCGAUAGUCUUACUUGUAAAUCAACCCAUGCAUUCAUAUUAGUUAUACGUUCAUUGGUUGUUUCUUGUUCCUUCAUCAUUAAACAGAUUUUUGCUACAAUUUGUAUUGAAUAUAUUAACCAUUUUUUGUCAUGUUUUUUUUCUCUUUGGUAAUAUUUUAACAUAAAAUGCAAUAGAAUAUUCAUCUUUUGGGAAAGUUAUAUCAUUCUCUCUAAUUGUGCCUUUUUCUAUUGAAAGAUCUCUUAACUUUGUAUCAACAUUUGGAACAAAUAAAUUUCCUACAUUAACUUUGUCUGUAUUUUUAUUGUUAUCAUCUUCAUUGUUGUUUAUUUCAUUCACUGUUUCAUCAUUGUUUAAUUCAUUUGAGGUUGGUUGUUCAAUAACUAAUUCUUUACUUAAAUUUAAAUCAUUUUUACUAGUUGUGACAAAUUUAUCAAGAGUUCCUUUUUGAGAUUGGACUAACUUUUCUAUUCUCCUCUUUUUUUUUUGUAGUUUUUAAUAUCAUGAUGCAUAUUUUCUAGUUGACAUGUUUUUCAAAUCUAAAAAACAAACAAAUGAACAAACACAAUUUUUUUUUUAGAUUAUUCAAGCCAUAAUCAAUACAAAAACUCAAAAAUAAAUUAAAUUUUAAAAGGAUAAGAACAAUAAUAAUUAAAAAUAGAAAAAACAGAAUGAUAGCACUUGGAAUUGAGUCAAUUAACUAGUUGAGAUGAAUAUGAUGAUGGAAAUGAAUUUCAUAGAGAAAGAUAAGAGAGCACGAAAACUUUUGCUGAAAGUAUCCAUCCUCAAUUCAAUGUGCAUCAGUUUAUAGAUAAUGAGUAUUUAAAUAUAAUAGAAUACUAAAAGUUAGCUCUCAAAAUCUAACAUUACUAAUUUUAAUAAGUCA